GAGCUUUUCCAUCACAUCUCACAGUCUCCAUCAGUGGACUGAGUUUGCUCUUUGGUUAUGGAGUGAAGCUCCAGGAAAAGCUAGUAAGUUGAGUUAAGAUUAUUGUGCCAAGCAAAUCCUUACAGAUUUAUCCUGUAAAGUAAUUUGAAAAUUGAGCCACAAGACCAUCAAUAGCAAAGUUUCUGUCUCCUGAACUUUCCUGACUCACCCAUUCAGACUUCACUUCGUGUAAUUCUUUUUAUUUAUAUCUAUUUAUGUUGUUUUAUCUGUCCUUAAGAUGUCUGCUGCCUCAUUUGUUUUCCGUCACUAUGGAGCACAUGCAGCAAUUAUUACACUGAGUGAUGACACUGCCAAUAAAACACAACGGGGAGCUGCGCCAAAUCUGUGGCAUCAAUAUUGUUCGCUGUGUCGUCAGUUUAUCAAAAUUUGAGGAUAAAAUGUAGUGCAACGAGUUUAUUGAAAUUCUGCUCAUCUGCAAACAUGAUGUGUGUUAUUGAAUUCAGACAGGCAAGCAGGAGGUCUGCUGGAGGAAUAUUUCAAGGAUUGAGUCAACCAAUCGGAAAACCAAUAGAACAUCAUUAUGGGAGUAGCAGUAUGAAAUACAUGCAUUCUGUUAGGAAAAUAAAAUUGUCUUAUUGCACUACUCCUUGUUUUUUCUGCUAUUCCGCUAUGUGCUGUAUCAUGUUGUUUGUUUCCAUUACUAUUAUACACACAUAUAUACUACAUUAUUGUAUAGUGUGUGUAUAUUAUGUGUUCUGUAUAUCUAUUAUAUACAAUAACAUACUUUAUACAUACUUUAUGUAUUUGUACGACUGGUCUUUUCUUCAAUUUAUAACAGACACUUUUAUGGAAAACAAAGCUGCUGUUUGAAACGUAACGUGACUUUAAAUUUGAACCUUCUGAUGAUUUAGAAAGCUAACAGCAAGUGGAUGACAGUGAACUCUUGCUCUCCCUCUGCGAUGUGCACCCUAAAAGAGCAUUUUAACAACUAUAAGGUGAUGCUGAGUAUAUUUCAGGAGAGCUCCUAUCUCAUUAUGAUUUGAUGCACCAGUGAAAGAAACUGUUUAAACUGCCUGAAUUGAUUAAUAAGAUAUUUACUCAAAAUUCCCCAGAUGACCGCUGCAGUCCUGGUCAUAUGAAGUGAACCUGAGAGGACAGAGACUCAGCGAUGCCCCAUAAGGAUUACUCUCCCAGCUCCCAGGUUUCCGUUACUCCCCUGUCAGUGAAUGCAACAUUUUCCUGUCCCGAUGGAGGUCUGACGAGACGAACAUGCAAUAAUCCGCUCCAGUCGUCCAGAAUCAGUGGGCCUUCGGAGUCCAGGCUCAGUCCUGGGACUCUGUGGCUUUCAUCUCAAUGUGAGUCAGGAGUUGAUUCAAACAUGGAGUGAUGGGAGAAUUAACCCCUGGGACCCAGCUUUCAAUGGGCUCAGCUAAGAGAUUAUAUGUGUUGAUGGCAGGCUUUUAUAUGCACUGGGCUUUCAAAACUUCAGCUGUUAAAUCAAGGCACAAGAUCUUUGCCUUUAGGUCUCCAGUAUAUACUUCUUCUUCUGUCCCCCUCCCCCGGUACCUCAUGUUUCAUCUUGAUGCCCUGAAACUGUGCGUGAGGCCGAGUAACAUUUUCUCUGAAGUGCCAAUGACACAGCCCACGACUCCACAAAUUAUACCGUACAUGUUCUGAGCCGAAGGACUCUCUUCAGACUGCCACUGGGAGUUUACAUUCAAUAUGCAGCUUCAGAUUCCCAUGACCGUCCCUGAGCCUUUGGGAUUCAGGCCCUUUUCGGUGCAUGAGAAGAUAUGUGAAACAGUGCUUGAAAAUAUAUGCACACUAACAUGAACGGAGCAACAGAAACAUGCAGUUGAUGUCAGACGAAAUGGAUCAUCCUCAAGAUUGUAGUUAAUUUGAGUUUGAAGUUGACGUCUUUGGUGGUCCUCGCAGGCCUCUAAAACACGUUGAGGGAAAAAAAAAAAAAAGUAAAAUCCUAUCCGUCUUCACAGACUUACAUGUUGCAUGCAUCCUUUGGUUU
Molecule: long non-coding RNA, 2023 nt
Organism: Scatophagus argus
Lineage: Eukaryota; Metazoa; Chordata; Actinopteri; Scatophagidae
Exons: 2
Source: RefSeq, a predicted model, not a curated record